AACGAACGCUGGCGGCAUGCCUAACACAUGCAAGUCGAACGGGAUCCUGGCUUCGGCCAGGUGAGAGUGGCGGACGGGUGAGUAACGCGUGGGAACCUGCCCAUUGGUCUGGGAUAACUGCGGGAAACUGCAGCUAAUAUCGGAUGUACCCGAGAGGGGAAAGAUUUAUCGCCGAUGGAGGGGCCCGCGUCAGAUUAGGUAGUUGGUGAGGUAACGGCUCACCAAGCCUACGAUCUGUAGCUGGUCUGAGAGGAUGAUCAGCCACACUGGGACUGAGAUACGGCCCAGACUCCUACGGGAGGCAGCAGUGGGAAUAUUGGACAAUGGGGGCAACCCUGAUCCAGCAAUGCCGCGUGAGUGAUGAUGGCCUUAGGGUUGUAAAGCUCUUUUACCAGGGACGAUGAUGACGGUACCUGGAGAAUAAGCCCCGGCUAACUUCGUGCCAGCAGCCGCGGUAAU
Molecule: ribosomal RNA, 459 nt
Filed under: uncultured bacterium
Lineage: Bacteria
Description: bacterial SSU rRNA
Rfam family: Bacterial small subunit ribosomal RNA
Source: RNAcentral